This 253-nucleotide ribosomal RNA is filed under the name uncultured prokaryote. RNAcentral's name for it is "partial 16S ribosomal RNA". It matches the Rfam family "Bacterial small subunit ribosomal RNA", at positions 524 to 776 of the family's 1533-position model. The record is from RNAcentral.
UACGAAGGUCCCAAGCGUUAUCCGGAUUUAUUGGGUUUAAAGGGUGCGUAGGCGGCUUAUUAAGUCAGUGGUGAAAGCUCCAUGCUUAACGUGGAAAUUGCCAUUGAUACUGAUGAGCUUGAGUAUAUUUGAAGUGGGCGGAAUGUGUCGUGUAGCGGUGAAAUGCUUAGAUAUGACACAGAACACCGAUUGCGUAGGCAGCUCACUAAACUGUAACUGACGCUGAGGCACGAAAGCAUGGGGAUCAAACAGG